Molecule: ribosomal RNA, 492 nt
Filed under: uncultured bacterium
Lineage: Bacteria
Description: partial 16S ribosomal RNA
Rfam family: Bacterial small subunit ribosomal RNA
Source: RNAcentral
AGUGAACGCUGGCGGUAGGCCUAACACAUGCAAGUCGAACGGCAGCACAGUAAGAGCUUGCUCUUACGGGUGGCGAGUGGCGGACGGGUGAGGAAUACAUCGGAAUCUACUUUUUCGUGGGGGAUAACGUAGGGAAACUUACGCUACUACCGCAUACGACCUACGGCUGAAAGCAGGGGAUCUUCGGACCUUUCGCGAUUGAAUGAGCCGAUGUCGGAUUAGCUAGUUGGCGGGGUAAAGGCCCACCAAGGCGACGAUCCGUAGCUGGUCUGAGAGGAUGAUCAGCCACACUGGAACUGAGACACGGUCCAGACUCCUACGGGAGGCAGCAGUGGGGAAUAUUGGACAAUGGGCGCAAGCCUGAUCCAGCCAUACCGCGUGGGUGAAGAAGGCCUUCGGGUUGUAAAGCCCUUUUGUUGGGAAAGAAAAGCAGCAGGUUAAUACCCCGCUGUUCUGACGGUACCCAAAGAAUAAGCACCGGCUAACUUCGUG